GACGAACGCUGGCGGCGUGCCUAAUACAUGCAAGUAGAACGCUGAAGGAGGAGCUUGCUCUUCUGGAUGAGUUGCGAACGGGUGAGUAACGCGUAGGUAACCUGCCUGGUAGCGGGGGAUAACUAUCGGAAACGAUAGCUAAUACCGCAUAAGAGUAGAUGUUGCAUGACAUUUACUUAAAAGGUGCAAUUGCAUCACUACCAGAUGGACCUGCGUUGUAUUAGCUAGUUGGUGGGGUAACGGCUUACCAAGGCGACGAUACAUAGCCGACCUGAGAGGGGGAUCGGCCACACUGGGACUGAGACACGGCCCAGACUCCUACGGGAGGCAGCAGUAGGGAAUCUUCGGCAAUGGACGGAAGUCUGACCGAGCAACGCCGCGUGAGUGAAGAAGGGUUUCGGAUCGUAAAGCUCUGUUGUAAGAGAAGAACGAGUGUGAGAGUGGAAAGUUCACACUGUGACGGUAGCUUACCAGAAAGGGACGGCUAACUACGUG
This 495-nucleotide ribosomal RNA is filed under the name uncultured bacterium. RNAcentral describes it as "partial 16S ribosomal RNA". It matches the Rfam family "Bacterial small subunit ribosomal RNA", at positions 28 to 507 of the family's 1533-position model. The record is from RNAcentral.